AGGACGAACGCUGGCGGCGUGGAUUAGGCAUGCAAGUUGAGCGACGGAUAGCCUUCGGGCUAUUACGGAACAGCGAACGGGUGAGUAACACGUGAACAAUCUGUCCCUUCAUUCCGGAUAAUUGGGAGAAAUCCCUUGUAAUACGGGCGAGGGUCCCUGGUGUGCAUGCACAUGGGGAAGAGGCGCAAGCCGUGCAGGGAGGAGUUCGCGGCCUAUCAGUUAGUUGGUGGGGUAACGGCCUACCAAGACUACGACGGGUAGCUGGU
This 266-nucleotide ribosomal RNA is filed under the name uncultured bacterium. RNAcentral describes it as "partial small subunit ribosomal RNA". It matches the Rfam family "Bacterial small subunit ribosomal RNA", at positions 26 to 291 of the family's 1533-position model. The record is from RNAcentral.